AGUUAUGAUGAUUUACUUUUGGAAUCUCGUUCGUCUGAAAUCCUGUUGAGAAUUUUAUUUGAAACUG
This is a small nucleolar RNA of Sardina pilchardus (European sardine), 67 nucleotides long. RefSeq annotates it as small nucleolar RNA SNORD30. The record is from RefSeq and is a predicted model, not a curated record. Lineage: Eukaryota; Metazoa; Chordata; Actinopteri; Clupeiformes; Clupeidae. The transcript has a single exon.